Molecule: ribosomal RNA, 540 nt
Filed under: uncultured bacterium
Lineage: Bacteria
Description: bacterial SSU rRNA
Rfam family: Bacterial small subunit ribosomal RNA
Source: RNAcentral
GAGGAAUAUUGGUCAAUGGAUGCAAAUCUGAACCAGCCAGGUAGCGUGCAGGAUGACGGCCCUAUGGGUUGUAAACUGCUUUUAUGUGAGAAUAAAGUUAGGUAUGUAUACUUAUUUGCAUGUAUCACAUGAAUAAGGACCGGCUAAUUCCGUGCCAGCAGCCGCGGUAAUACGGAAGGUCCAGGCGUUAUCCGGAUUUAUUGGGUUUAAAGGGUGCGUAGGCCGUUUGAUAAGCGUGCUGUGAAAUAUAGUGGCUCAACCUCUAUCGUGCAGCGCGAACUGUUGAACUUGAGUGCGUAGUAGGUAGGCGGAAUUCGUGGUGUAGCGGUGAAAUGCUUAGAUAUCACGAAGAACUCCGAUUGCGAAGGCAGCUUACCGUAACGUUACUGACGCUUAAGCACGAAGGUGCGGGUAUCGAACAGGAUUAGAUACCCUGGUAGUCCGCACAGUAAACGAUGGAUGCUCGCUGUUGGCCUUUUGUGGUCAGUGGCUUAGCGAAAGCGUUAAGCAUCCCACCUGGGGAGUACGCCGGCAACGGAG